CUUCUCCUGGCUCAGAAGCUCCCCCACCGAGCACCUUGUGACCCCCGCCCCUGCCCACCAGAGAACAACCCCCUUUGACUGUAAUUUUCCUUUACCUUCCCAAAUCCUAUAAAACGGCCCCACCCUUAUCUCCCUUCACUGACUCUCUUUUCGGACUCAGCCCAACCGCAUCCAGGUUAUAGCUCCAAUCUGUGCAAUGCACUUUGAAAAUGGAGAAAGGGAACACGUCAAGGAAUACAGGAAGCCACUAGAAGCUGGAAAAAAACCAGGAGACAGAUUCUCCUCCCAGAUCAUCCAGAAGGAACCAACCCUGCUAAAACCUUGACUUUAGCUCAGUACAAAGGAUUUCAGACUUACAGCCUCCAUAAGGAUCGAUCAGUUACUUGUUAAGGCCCUAAGGAAAUGAACAAAAGAGGGGUGCAUUUUGAUGACUGACUACAUAGGAUGCUGGUUGAGAGAAACAGGCCCUAGAUGUACCGUAAACCACCAAGAAAAACAAAGGGGACUUAUUUCCCAAAAGUCCGGAACCCACAGUGGGAGACUCUCCCUAAAAAUGCUGAACCCAGAUGUCCUUGAUGAAGAUUACUCCACUGGGCUUCAUCUUGGCUCAGGGUGCAUACAAUAAAACAAUGCUUCUUAAUUGUGUUCUGCCAAACAUUCGAUCCAUGGGCAAUUCUUGGGUGUUAACCCAAAGAAAUUGGUUCUGUGGUCGAAUAAAUUCAGAAAACACUAAAUGAAACAACAAAAAUAAAUAAAGAGGGAUUCUUUUAACAGAGCUUCUCAGAGGUUUUAAUAAAGCCAUGUGUGUUGUGAAUUUCUAACAGGGAUGUAUGAUAUAUCUUCUGAAUAUUUUACUACAGAACUUGCUCUUUUGUGGAAAAGAGAUGAGAUUAAUAUCCUGCAGAAAUUAUUUUAUUAAAAAACUCAUAGAGGGCAGCAGAAUAACUUUUGCAUAGUAGAAUAACUUUGGCUCUGGGCAAACGAAUGAAAAUAAUUUCUCAUGUAAAAAUGCCG
Molecule: long non-coding RNA, 1014 nt
Filed under: Homo sapiens (human)
Lineage: Eukaryota; Metazoa; Chordata; Mammalia; Primates; Hominidae
Description: HSALNT0186382
Source: RNAcentral